AAAAACAUCGCCUCCUGCAAAAAUCAACGUAUAGGAGGUCCUGCCUGCCCAGUGACAUCUAGUUAAACGGCCGCGGUAUUUUGACCGUGCUAAGGUAGCGCAAUCACUUGUCUUUUAAAUGAGGACCUGUAUGAACGGCGGAACGAGGGCUUAACUGUCUCCUUUUUCCAGUCAAUGAAAUUGAUCUGCCCGUGCAGAAGCGGGCAUGACUAUACAAGACGAGAAGACCCUUUGGAGCUUUAGAUAAAAGGCCAACCAUGUCGAGGGUCCUAAUAAAAUUUUAAACCAAACAAACAGUUGACUGGCCUCUAUCUUCGGUUGGGGCGACCGCGGGGGAAAACAAAGCCCCCACGCAGAAUGGGGAUUAUACCCUAAAACCAAGAGGGACACCUCUAAGUCACAGAACAUCUGACCAAAAGAUCCGGCAAACAAGCCGAUCAACGGACCAAGUUACCCUAGGGAUAACAGCGCAAUCCCCUCCAAGAGUUCAUAUCGACAAGGGGGUUUACGACCUCGAUGUUGGAUCAGGACAUCCUAAUGGUGCAGCCGCUAUUAAGGGUUCGUUUGUUCAACGAUUAAAGUCCUACGUGAUCUGAG
Molecule: ribosomal RNA, 597 nt
Filed under: Mylesinus sp. DC-2004
Lineage: Eukaryota; Metazoa; Chordata; Actinopteri; Characiformes; Serrasalmidae
Description: partial 16S large subunit ribosomal RNA
Rfam family: Bacterial large subunit ribosomal RNA
Source: RNAcentral